CAAUGGGGGAAAAAAGGCACACUUGAAUUCUCCAAAAAGAAGGAAUAGGAUGAUUUUAAGAUUUUUUCACAAUCUUAAGAGACUUUCAUCGACACCUUCCUGUCCCGGUUUAGACCUGCAUUCUACAAGUGUGAUUCCACUCAAUGAAGAUUUCAUAACAAAACUUCAGCUUCCCACAGAGGCCACAGAAUCCUGAGGACAACCUGCAGGAAGCUGGGUCACUACUUUUUAUAAGUCAAAGCCUUCAAAUUUGACAAGACUUUUCAGCAUCUAAGAAUGUUUUGGUUUUCUGGGGCUUUUUAAACAAGAGAAUACCAGCC
This is a long non-coding RNA of Neofelis nebulosa (Clouded leopard), 320 nucleotides long. RefSeq lists it as uncharacterized. The transcript has 3 exons. The record is from RefSeq and is a predicted model, not a curated record. NCBI's taxonomy places the organism in Eukaryota, Metazoa, Chordata, Mammalia, Carnivora, Felidae.